ACGCUGGCGGCUGCCUACACAUGCAAGUCGAACGAGAAAGUUCCUUCGGGAGCAAUUAAAGUGGCGCACGGGUGAGUAACGCGUAGACAAUCUACCCUUCAGUCCGGGACAACUUUUCGAAAGAAGAGCUAAUACCGGAUAACAAUGUUUAACCUAAGUUAAGUAUUUGAAAGCUUUAUGUGCUGAAGGAGGGGUCUGCGUCCCAUUAGCUAGUUGGUAAGGUAAAGGCUUACCAAGGCGACGAUGGGUAGCGGGUUUGAGAGGACGAUCCGCCACACUGGAACUGAGACACGGUCCAGACUCCUACGGGAGGCAGCAGUGGGGAAUAUUGCACAAUGGAGGCAACUCUGAUGCAGCAAUGUCGCGUGAGUGAAGAAGGCCCUUGGGUCGUAAAGCUCUUUUAUGGGGGAAGAUGAUGACGGUACCCCAAGAAUAAGCACCGGCUAACUAUGUGCCAGCAGCCGCGGUAAUACAUAGGGUGCGAGCGUUGUUCGGAAUUACUGGGCGUAAAGGGCGCGCAGGCGGAAUAGUAAGUCGGAGGUGAAAGCCCGGGGCUCAACCCCGGAGGGUCUUUCGAAACUGCUAAUCUAGAGAGGGUCAGGGGCCGGCAGAAUUCCUGGUGUAGAGGUGAAAUUCGUAGAUAUCAGGAGGAAUACCGGUGGCGAAGGCGGCCGGCUGGGGCCACUCUGACGCUGAGGCGCGAAAGCGUGGGGAGCAAACAGGAUUAGAUACCCUGGUAGUCCACGCCGUAAACGAUGAGCACUGGACGUCCGGAGGGUUCGACCCUUCUGGGUGUCUCAGCUAACGCAUUAAGUGCUCCGCCUGGGGAGUACGGUCGCAAGACUAAACUCAAAUGGAUGCG
RNAcentral lists this ribosomal RNA (862 nucleotides) under delta proteobacterium SCGC AAA240-K04. RNAcentral's name for it is "SSU rRNA". It matches the Rfam family "Bacterial small subunit ribosomal RNA", at positions 33 to 913 of the family's 1533-position model. Lineage: Bacteria; Deltaproteobacteria. The record is from RNAcentral.